GGGAGAUUGGAAAAACCCAGUGCUUCAAAGGAUCUUAGCAAAGAACUGGUAUACAUGAACUGGACUAUCAUGCCGCAGGAAUGAAAGCACCCUACAUAUCCAAGUAAGGAUUGUGUGAAGAACUGCACUGGACUCCAGUGAACUGCAGUUCCUCAGACUGCUGGGAAAACAUUAAAAUCUUCAUUGCUUUGCAUUGCUAUUAACCAGUUUCGAAAUGUUUCACAAAUAAAAAAAGUUAGUCUUCAAAAA
Molecule: non-coding RNA, 249 nt
Organism: Lonchura striata (white-rumped munia)
Lineage: Eukaryota; Metazoa; Chordata; Aves; Passeriformes; Estrildidae
Source: RefSeq, a predicted model, not a curated record